Molecule: ribosomal RNA, 331 nt
Filed under: uncultured eukaryote
Lineage: Eukaryota
Description: partial 18S ribosomal RNA
Rfam family: Eukaryotic small subunit ribosomal RNA
Source: RNAcentral
CCCUUAGAUGUUCUGGGCCGCACGCGCGCUACACUGACGGAUUCAACGAGCUUACAACCUUGGCCGAAAGGUCUGGGUAAUCUCCAAAAUCCGUCGUGAUGGGGAUAGAUUAUUGCAAUUAUUAAUCUUCAACGAGGAAUGCCUAGUAAGCGCAAGUCAUCAGCUUGCGUUGAUUACGUCCCUGCCCUUUGUACACACCGCCCGUCGCUACUACCGAUUGGAUGGCUUAGCGAGAAUUUUGGAUCGGAGCCCGGGUGGUCGGCAACGGUCGCCCGGGAGAUCUGAGAAAUCAUUCCAGCUUGGUCAUCUAGAGGAAGUAAAAGUCGUAACA